Ictidomys tridecemlineatus (thirteen-lined ground squirrel) is the source of this 1127-nucleotide non-coding RNA. The record is from RefSeq and is a predicted model, not a curated record. NCBI's taxonomy places the organism in Eukaryota, Metazoa, Chordata, Mammalia, Rodentia, Sciuridae.
GCAGGCAUCUUUUCUGAGACAAAGUUGAAUGAGUAAAGUAAAAAACAACAAAAAACCCAUCCAUCGAUGAUAUUUUGACCUUGAUAAGAAGUCCAAAGGCAGUCCAAACAUACAUUUCUACCCCACUCCAUUUCUGCCUUCACCAGCCUCAGCUUGGAGAUGUGUGCACUGUUUAGCUGAAGUGCCCCACAAAUAAGGAAGCUUAUAACUGUGGCUCUCUUUGUCAUGUUAAAUCUUUUCACCUGGCUCAAGUCCAAAGUCAACACGCACAGCUUUAAAAUAAAACCGGAGGAGAUAACACCACACAGUGAGAAGGUGUGAGUUAAAGGUCUUGUCCUGAGAACCAAGGGUACAUCCUCCCACCCCCCCAACAUAGGAGGUCCUGGAUCUACUCACAUAGCCACACUUCAUCACUGGAGUCACUCUGGACCACCCUGUCUUUAACAAUGGAUCCAACUGCAAAGACUGGGGUUCUUUUUGUAACAUUUUCUCUCAUUCUGUUCAGAAUCCAUCUGAAUUUAAAAAUUCCCAUCCAUGUAGCCAGUCACUGCCCUGGGAUCUGUGCCCAUGAUAGUCCCCAUCCCCUGGAGCUCAGUAGAUAGAAAAGGGACACUAGGAUGCUUUUAAUUUAAUUUGUUUAUUUUGGGGUGCUGGGAUUGAACCCAGGGCCUCGUGCAUGCUAAAAACAUGCUCUCCCACUGAGCUAUACCCUCAGCCUUGAUAAGAUGCUUUUAGAUAUUCUAGUUAAGAGAUGUUCUUGUUUUGCCUUCAUAUACCCACUUUCUCAGAGAAAAUAAACAAACAAAAAUCUGCUACAACUUUGGAGAAGAAGUUUUCCAUGUUAGUUUCUGUUGCAAAAUUGUUUUGCUUAUUCUUCAGAGUGAUAUUGAGGCUCCCUUGACCCCAACAUCUUGCUUAUAAUUGGAAUCCUAUGCUGUUGGAUUGGUUGACUCACAGAUCCUUCCCUGAACCUUAUAAAAGUAUCUAUCUUCCCUUGGAACCAAGAUACUUGGCAAAGCAGUAGGCUUUUUCUUUUUCUUUUCCUCUAAUUGUUCAAGGCAACAUUUGUGGUCAGAUGUGACAUAUGCUUUAUGCCAUAAAUCAGCAUAAAAAGUCCUAAACAGACA